GUGAAUUUUUCUGAGAGCUGAGGACCAAAUCAGCCCUUGUGCAUGAAGACAGAAAACUAUGUCAGAAGGCUCUCUUGACUAAGCAAGAAGCUUUUUAAUGGGCUGAAAUGGAAAUGCAACCGCACAAGAAGCAGAAACAAGCAUGGGCCAUCAAGGGCAGGGAGAAAUAUCUCCCCUGGUUGUGUGCAGUCAGCUCUAGUUUGAAUGUAUGAGAAUAUCUUUGAGUUGGUCUUCAUCAUCACCCAGAAUCACACUACUGGGAAUGGCAGCAGUAUCCUUUGGCACAGCGAAGUCACCUCCAGAAAUAGUGGCUCACAGCUCUCCUCAGGUUAUGCCAAUAUCAUAUGAGGCUGACUCAGCCAUACUGGAGGUGAAGAGGAUUCUGAUCCUGUUCUCUGCACGCUGAAUGUGGACGUGGAACGGGAGCCUCUACAGAGGAGCUGAUUUUGGUCACAUAUGCCCUUCUGAGAAUCAAGAAUAAUAAUGCUAAACUUGGUCUAGUUACACUGAACAUGUUUGGCGUGAUGGCAGUUUCAGCAGAGAGAGAAUGGGAGACAGGACUUGUGUGACUACAAUAUUGCCGUCUCACUACAUCAUGCUGAGCAGAAGCCAUGAAGGGGGAAAAAUGUCCUCUUGCCUCACUGAGGAAGAAUAGGGGUGAAGGAAUCAUGGACCGUGCGUAGCGCACUCUCUUUUCUGCCUCUGAGCCCACUUGCUUUUUUUUUCUUUUUUUUUUCUUUCACUAGAUGGUACUGACAACAGUCAACAUUUGUGGAAAGAAAAGUUUCCACAGCCCAUUCCAAGAUACCUCCUUGUUUCUUUGGGUGACUGCAUUUCCUCUGCUGUAACGAGCUGUCCAUGACUGCUGCAUCUUCAGGGCUAUGCACUGUUCCCUGCCAGGGAUGGCACCAUCAUGUAUUGCCCUGCUAGUAGGACAUAUCUGUGGAUUUUCAGUUUUAUGUUAUACACUUUGUGCUUAUGUGUUUCCCUCCUUGCUUCCCAAAAAACGAGACUUAAGGGUAACUAUAAUCUCUGUUUUAUGACGGUGCAGUGUGUUGCUAACCUCAUCAGGGGCAUGAGUCUGGUUUCUAUUCACAGAUGAAAAUUUCUUUAUUGCCUGUCUCAACUUAAUCAAUUUUUGUCCCAGUGAGUAAGUGAGCAGUAAAUGAGUAAUGAGAUGAGUGAAAAUAUGAAUGGAAAAAUAACAAGUACUAGUUUCUAUUGCCUUUAAUAAUAUUUGUAU
Cygnus olor (mute swan) is the source of this 1243-nucleotide long non-coding RNA. RefSeq lists it as uncharacterized. Lineage: Eukaryota; Metazoa; Chordata; Aves; Anseriformes; Anatidae. The transcript has 5 exons. The record is from RefSeq and is a predicted model, not a curated record.